AGGGAGUAUAAAUAAGUGCACAUCUCGUAUCGUAACCACCGACACUGAUGCACGAAAUUUAUUCGAGUUUUUCAGUGUCUUGCUGCUAUAGGCUCGCGAGUUUUGCACUGAGCUUGAGAUUGGUUCGUUCAGAAUUCAAGCCGAUCUCGAGACACAUCUAAGAUAAGUUUUUUUUUAACUCCUUAGAAUUGAGUGGAGAAAAUGAUGUGCUGCCGGGAAUUUUGCAUUGGACUUAGUACUGUUUGGUUAUCAUGGACUAAACUUUAGUCCACCUGUUUUGGCCCCUUUUAGUCUCUAAAAUAAUAAACAGGUGGACUAAAAUGUGGACUAAAUCCUUUAGUCCUGUAGUCCAACAAAGGGUGGACUAAAGUGAACUAAAAGACCUUGAAGACACCCCUGCCCCUCAUUUAUUACCUCCCUCCCUGCUCAGCCCCCUC
This 437-nucleotide long non-coding RNA is filed under the name Setaria viridis. RNAcentral's name for it is "long non-coding RNA (SVIR_LNC005783)". The record is from RNAcentral. Lineage: Eukaryota; Viridiplantae; Streptophyta; Magnoliopsida; Poales; Poaceae.